AAUUUGAAUGCACAUCGACAUCCUUUGAGGAGUUAGCUAGCACUACAUUUGGUGUUGAUACUGCACAAGAUACUGCUAGAGGAGAUACUGCUAGAGGAUCUGAUGAGCAUAUGGUGGAUCUGGACCACGUCCCGGGGACAAGAGAGAUACUGCUAGAGGAUCUGAUGAGCA
Cryptomeria japonica (Japanese cedar) is the source of this 171-nucleotide long non-coding RNA. RefSeq lists it as uncharacterized. The transcript has 3 exons. The record is from RefSeq and is a predicted model, not a curated record. Lineage: Eukaryota; Viridiplantae; Streptophyta; Pinopsida; Cupressales; Cupressaceae.